Molecule: ribosomal RNA, 2900 nt
Filed under: Klebsiella pneumoniae
Lineage: Bacteria; Pseudomonadati; Pseudomonadota; Gammaproteobacteria; Enterobacterales; Enterobacteriaceae
Description: 23S ribosomal RNA
Rfam family: Bacterial large subunit ribosomal RNA
Source: RNAcentral
GGUUAAGCGACUAAGCGUACACGGUGGAUGCCCUGGCAGUCAGAGGCGAUGAAGGACGUGCUAAUCUGCGAAAAGCGUCGGUAAGGUGAUAUGAACCGUUAUAACCGGCGAUGUCCGAAUGGGGAAACCCAGUGCAAUUCGUUGCACUAUCGUUAACUGAAUACAUAGGUUAACGAGGCGAACCGGGGAACUGAAACAUCUAAGUACCCCGAGGAAAAGAAAUCAACCGAGAUUCCCCCAGUAGCGGCGAGCGAACGGGGAGCAGCCCAGAGUCUGAAUCAGCUUGUGUGUUAGUGGAACGGUCUGGAAAGUCCGACGGUACAGGGUGAUAGUCCCGUACACCAAAAUGCACAGGUUGUGAACUCGAAGAGUAGGGCGGGACACGUGGUAUCCUGUCUGAAUAUGGGGGGACCAUCCUCCAAGGCUAAAUACUCCUGACUGACCGAUAGUGAACCAGUACCGUGAGGGAAAGGCGAAAAGAACCCCGGCGAGGGGAGUGAAAAAGAACCUGAAACCGUGUACGUACAAGCAGUGGGAGCACCUUCGGGUGUGACUGCGUACCUUUUGUAUAAUGGGUCAGCGACUUAUAUUCUGUAGCAAGGUUAACCGUAUAGGGGAGCCGCAGGGAAACCGAGUCUUAACUGGGCGUUAAGUUGCAGGGUAUAGACCCGAAACCCGGUGAUCUAGCCAUGGGCAGGUUGAAGGUUGGGUAACACUAACUGGAGGACCGAACCGACUAAUGUUGAAAAAUUAGCGGAUGACUUGUGGCUGGGGGUGAAAGGCCAAUCAAACCGGGAGAUAGCUGGUUCUCCCCGAAAGCUAUUUAGGUAGCGCCUCGUGAACUCAUCUUCGGGGGUAGAGCACUGUUUCGGCUAGGGGGUCAUCCCGACUUACCAACCCGAUGCAAACUACGAAUACCGAAGAAUGUUAUCACGGGAGACACACGGCGGGUGCUAACGUCCGUCGUGAAGAGGGAAACAACCCAGACCGCCAGCUAAGGUCCCAAAGUCAUGGUUAAGUGGGAAACGAUGUGGGAAGGCACAGACAGCCAGGAUGUUGGCUUAGAAGCAGCCAUCAUUUAAAGAAAGCGUAAUAGCUCACUGGUCGAGUCGGCCUGCGCGGAAGAUGUAACGGGGCUAAACCAUGCACCGAAGCUGCGGCAGCGACACUAUGUGUUGUUGGGUAGGGGAGCGUUCUGUAAGCCUGCGAAGGUGACCUGUGAGGGUUGCUGGAGGUAUCAGAAGUGCGAAUGCUGACAUAAGUAACGAUAAAGCGGGUGAAAAGCCCGCUCGCCGGAAGACCAAGGGUUCCUGUCCAACGUUAAUCGGGGCAGGGUGAGUCGACCCCUAAGGCGAGGCCGAAAGGCGUAGUCGAUGGGAAACAGGUUAAUAUUCCUGUACUUGGUGUUACUGCGAAGGGGGGACGGAGAAGGCUAUGUUAGCCGGGCGACGGUUGUCCCGGUUUAAGCAUGUAGGCUGGUUGUCCAGGCAAAUCCGGAUAAUCAAGGCUGAGGUGUGAUGACGAGGCACUACGGUGCUGAAGUAACAAAUGCCCUGCUUCCAGGAAAAGCCUCUAAGCAUCAGGUAACAUCAAAUCGUACCCCAAACCGACACAGGUGGUCAGGUAGAGAAUACCAAGGCGCUUGAGAGAACUCGGGUGAAGGAACUAGGCAAAAUGGUGCCGUAACUUCGGGAGAAGGCACGCUGGUGUGUAGGUGAAGUCCCUGCGGAUGGAGCUGAGACCAGUCGAAGAUACCAGCUGGCUGCAACUGUUUAUUAAAAACACAGCACUGUGCAAACACGAAAGUGGACGUAUACGGUGUGACGCCUGCCCGGUGCCGGAAGGUUAAUUGAUGGGGUUAUCCGUAAGGAGAAGCUCUUGAUCGAAGCCCCGGUAAACGGCGGCCGUAACUAUAACGGUCCUAAGGUAGCGAAAUUCCUUGUCGGGUAAGUUCCGACCUGCACGAAUGGCGUAAUGAUGGCCAGGCUGUCUCCACCCGAGACUCAGUGAAAUUGAACUCGCUGUGAAGAUGCAGUGUACCCGCGGCAAGACGGAAAGACCCCGUGAACCUUUACUAUAGCUUGACACUGAACAUUGAGCCUUGAUGUGUAGGAUAGGUGGGAGGCUUUGAAGCGUGGACGCCAGUCUGCGUGGAGCCAACCUUGAAAUACCACCCUUUAAUGUUUGAUGUUCUAACGUUGGCCCCUUACCGGGGUUGCGGACAGUGUCUGGUGGGUAGUUUGACUGGGGCGGUCUCCUCCCAAAGCGUAACGGAGGAGCACGAAGGUUAGCUAAUCCUGGUCGGACAUCAGGAGGUUAGUGCAAUGGCAUAAGCUAGCUUGACUGCGAGCGUGACGGCGCGAGCAGGUGCGAAAGCAGGUCAUAGUGAUCCGGUGGUUCUGAAUGGAAGGGCCAUCGCUCAACGGAUAAAAGGUACUCCGGGGAUAACAGGCUGAUACCGCCCAAGAGUUCAUAUCGACGGCGGUGUUUGGCACCUCGAUGUCGGCUCAUCACAUCCUGGGGCUGAAGUAGGUCCCAAGGGUAUGGCUGUUCGCCAUUUAAAGUGGUACGCGAGCUGGGUUUAGAACGUCGUGAGACAGUUCGGUCCCUAUCUGCCGUGGGCGCUGGAGAAUUGAGGGGGCUGCUCCUAGUACGAGAGGACCGGAGUGGACGCAUCACUGGUGUUCGGGUUGUCAUGCCAAUGGCACUGCCCGGUAGCUAAAUGCGGAAGAGAUAAGUGCUGAAAGCAUCUAAGCACGAAACUUGCCCCGAGAUGAGUUCUCCCUGAGACUUUAAGUCUCCUGAAGGAACGUUAAAGACGAUGACGUUGAUAGGCCGGGUGUGUAAGCGCAGCGAUGCGUUGAGCUAACCGGUACUAAUGAACCGUGAGGCUUAACCUU